Molecule: long non-coding RNA, 14193 nt
Filed under: Homo sapiens (human)
Lineage: Eukaryota; Metazoa; Chordata; Mammalia; Primates; Hominidae
Description: non-protein coding lnc-SDE2-1:3
Source: RNAcentral
ACAAACACAAAAGACACGCUGAGGGGCCGCCGGCUCCCGCCGAGACUGCCGCCCGCACCCGGCCAGCCCCCGCCCCCGGCCCUGCACUCCCAUCCCGCUCCGUGUGCGCACGGCGUCGAACCCCCGAAGCCCGGGUUUGGGGCGCCCGGAGGGAAGUGGGGGGAGGGGAAGGCGGGCGGAGGCGCGGCGGGUGAACGCCCGGCCUGCGGGCGUCUCGGGCCGCGGCGGGGAGGGGAGGGAGGGGCUGCCCCCGCGCGGGCCCCGGCGCGCGCCCCCGAGGAGACCCGGGCGGCAGUGGGGGAGGAGGACGCGGUCGGCCGGGUCGCCGCGCCCCAUUGGAAAACGCUCCCCAGCAGGAAGCUGGCAAAUAGGAAUCCAGCGUCCCGCGCCCGCUGUCGGACCUGGCCGCUGCGGCAGCGGGAGGGGCGGACCGACGGCCUCCUUCCCGCCUGCGCGCUCGGCCAAGUGCGGCCGGGUCCUGCGGGACCGGCCCGAGUCCGCCGUAGACAACUUGAUCCGCUAAGACUCCUGGGCCGGCCGCCUGCGUGCAGGGCAGCCCCUCGCCGGUGUUGGCCUCCGGGAUCAGGGGACGGGGCUCGCUCUCCUCCCGGGCCCGGGCCCCCGACGCAAGAUGGCUGUGUCGCGUCGGCCUCUAAACAAUGUGUGGAGCGCGCAGCUCCUGCACCAGGGCCUGGUGGCUUGUCCUGCCCGCCCGUGGGGGCCGUGUGAUCUGUUUUCGGUAGGAUUGCUUUGGAAAGGAAUUGCCGAAUAUAGAUAGUCAAAUGUCCGCAGCUUCUGCAUAGUUUAGAAGAGGCUGAAAACGGCAGAAAGAAGGCAAACGUGGUUUGGGAAUUAGUACAUAUACCUGUUUUCCAAUUCUCAGUAGCAUAGGAAACGGACUUUUCAUGGCCCAAGUUAUCCUCACGACUUGUCAGUUGAUUGGCUUUGGAACCUCUGAACCGUCCCUAGAUGGUAUUGACGCUUCACAACUGUGUGUAAAGGUUUUCAAUGGAAGGGUCAUGCAAAUAUCCCGUAGGGUAGUGAAGGAGGAAAAUUUCAUAAAUGAAGGGCAGUAAUUAUUUGUAAUCUGAAGAUCUCACAAAGCGGCUUAGUGAUAAACAUUAUCCCGAAACAGAUACAUGGAAAUCAGAUACGAGGGAAGAAAUGGAUUUGUCCAAGGUCACUUAAGUGAGGAAGAGACCUAGGAGAAACAAACAGACAAAAAUCCAGGCCUCCCGUUUCAUUAUUAUUUCAUGAAUGUUAAGUGUCCAUGGUUGCUGUGCAGAACACAUGCAAUCUCUAAUCCUAUCCUAAAAGCACAUAUGCAAUCAGCUUGGACCGAGCUGCCAGCAAAGAAUUUCCUAUAAUUCAAGCCAAGAUGAGUUAUUUUGCUUGUUUUUUGUUUUGUUUUCAGGAAACCGAAAUAUUUAUUGUUGGAUUUAUCCAGGAAGGCUGUUCUGCAUUAGUUAAAUGCAUCAUAUCUUCAAGAAAUGUUAAAUGACAUGGGUAAUGUUUUCUUUGUAUGCUGGAUUUUUCAAUAGCUUCUACUUCUUGGCUUUAAAAAAUAUUUCUAACCAAGGGUCAGACCAUUUUAGGUAGAGUAAUUAUGAUCUUAGAUGAUUUGAACUAACUCAGCUGUCUGUCCAUUUGUGAAAUGGGAAUAAUAAUAUUUAUCUCUAUGAAGUUAGGCCACAAAUUCUUUCUAGUAGGUUCAAGUAUUUAAGCACCUGGAGAGGUGACUGGUUACCCUCCUAGUGGCUUCAGGAAGUUUUCUCACUGAAUGAAUAUUUAUUGAGUGCCAACUCUGCUCAGCACAAUUCAGGGGUGCUGGGAAUGCAGCAGUGAAUAACACAAGCAGUGUUCCUGCCCUCAUGGGGCUUAUGAUCUCUGGAAGCACUGCUUUGCACAGGGAAGUAGCACCAGGAGGGGGUAAAGAAAGAGGGACUUUGGAGCCCCAAGAUUGGCAAAAACUAUAGCUAAUGAGAGAGGUGAACUGUAGAGUCUAGAUAAUGGGGAAGGAGAGGUGCCAGAGCAAGAAGGGAUUCUCACAGGGCCCUACGGGUCAGUCCUGAAUUGGCUUUACUAGAACUCAGGCCCAGCACAAUGGCUCACAUCUGUAAUCCCAGCGCUUUGGGAGGCCGAGGUGGGUGGAUCACUUGAGAUCAGGAGUUUGAGACCAACCUGGCCAACCUGGAGAAACCCUGUCUCUACUAAAAAUAAAAAUUAGCCGUCAUGGUGGCACACGUCUGUAAUCCUAGCUACUUGGGAGGCUGAAGUGGGAGGAUUGCUUGAAUUUGGGAGGUGGAGGUUGCAGUGAGCCGAAAUUUUGCCACUGCACUUCAGCCUGGGCAACAGUAAGACUCCAUCUCAGAAAAAAAAAAAAAUAGAAUUCUUGGGCUAAUAAUGGCCUCAACAUUUGCAGUUAAAAAAGAAAUGGGGAGGAUGGGAGCAAAAGGUUUUAAGUUAAAAUAUUUUCCUUAGAAUAGAGUACUUAUGGCCAUGAAUUUAGAUUUGUUUAUAAGUAGAAAAGUAGAAUGGAAAGGAUUUUAAAAGCAACGCUAUUCAUAUCUGCUUGGCUCCUGUCAAUCAACUGCAAAGAUUACUGCCUCAUGGAGAUGCUUCUGGUCACUGUAAUGCUAUCUCCAUGCACACUUUAUCACAUUGAUUUCACAUCACCUUUUUAUCACAUUGAUUUACAUCUAUCAUUUGUUCACUUGCUUAUUGUCCAGUUCCUCCCCAAAGAAUAUAACCUCUGAGGUAAUGGUGGUCUUGUCUGUUUUUUCUCCUGUCCCUGAUCAUUUGCUGUACCUUUUUAUUAGGUGAUCUCAUCCAGUUACAUGGAAAUUAUCAUGUAGAAAAAUAGAAUAAAACAAUGAACCCCUUGUACCCAUCUUUAGAAAUUACUGACUCAUGACCAAUAUUGGGUUCCCUCUAUACUCUACUCACUUCUACCUCACCGAUUUGAAUUAUUUUGAAGCAAAUCCCAGCCUGCAUUAUUUCAUCUGUAGAUAAUUUAGUAUGUAUCAUAGGAGUCAAAUAGAUGAUUGAUGUGCCCCUUAAAUCUCUUAUAAUCUACAGAUUCUUUCUCUGUAUUUGUACUUUGUUGAAAAAUAUGGAUUGGCCAGGCGUGGUGGCUCACACUUGUAAUCCCAGCACUUUGGGAGGCUGAGGUGGGCUGAUCACUUGAGGUCAGGAGUUGGAGACCACCUUGGCCAACAUGGCGAAACCCUAUCUCUACUAAAAAUACAAAAAUUAGCCAGGCGUGGUGGCUCACGCCUGUAGUCCCAGCUACUUGGGAGGCUGAGGUAGGAGAAUUGCUUGAACCCCAGGAGGCGGAGGUUGCAGUGAGCAGAGACUGCGCCACUGCACUCCAGUCUGGGCGACAGAGCAAGACUCCGUCUCAAACAAAAGAAAAAUAUGGAUCAUUUAUCCUGAGGCUUUGGAUCCACACUGUCUAAAACUGUCCUUUCCCUCAGUCUUGUCCAGUAAAUAGCACUACCAUUUACUCAACUCAAACCAAAAAGUACAGACAGCCUCCUUGAGCCUCUUUUUCUUUCACCCCGAUAGCCAGUCUAUUGGUCUUGCUCUGAAAUGCUUAUCAGAAUGACCUACUCCUCUUCUCAUCUCUUACCUGCCCUUCAACAGUAACUUUCUGUAUGACCUUUCUCUUUCCACUCCUGCACCUCUGUAUUUUAUUUGCUACCAAGCAGACACAGAUUAGAUUAUAGAAUAUAAAUCAGAUUAGGUUGCAUUCUUGCUUAAUCCAUUCAGUGGCCUCCCACUGCUCUUGGUUAAAUUCCACAUGUGUGGGCCCUGGCAUUACCCCUCUUUCCCCUCCGCACUGUGCUGCAGACUAGCCACCCCUGGUCCAUCAAGUCCUCCUCUGCCUUAGGAUCAUUGCAUCUGUUCUUUCUGAAGCUUGAAUUCUCUUCCACCAGCUUUUGAUAGGACUGUCUCACCAUCUUCUAAGGCAAACUUUCUAACCUUUCCCAUGUCAUUUUCUUCUUAGAAAAUGAUCAUAUUUGGCCAGGUGCAGUGGCUCACACCUCAGGUGAUCUGCCUACCUCGGCCUCCCAAGGUGCUGGGAUUACAGGCAUGAGCCACCGCGCCUGGCCUUUUCCAUUGCUAUUAUUAUUAUUCGAGACAGAGUCUCACUCUGUGGUCCAGGCUGGAAUGCAGUGGUGUGAUCGCUGCUCACUGCAACCUCCGCCUCCCAGGUUCAAGCAAUUCUCCUGCCUCAGCCUCCCAAGUAGCUGGAAUUACAGGCAUGUGCCACCAUGCCCAGCUAAUUUUUUUGUAUUUUCAAUAGAGACAGGGUUUUGCCAUGUUGGCCAGGCUGGUCUCAAACUCCUGACCUCAAGUGAUCUGCCCGCCUUGGCCAACCAAAGUGCUGGGAUUAUUGGCAUGAGCCACCACACCUGCCCUCCAUUAUUAUUAUUUCAGUUAUGGUGAUCUGUAAUCAGUGAUCUUUGAUGUUACUAUUGUAAUUGUCUUGGGCAGCCACAAGCUGCACCUGUAUAAGAUGGCAAACUUAACUCCAUAAAUGUCCUGUGUGUUCUGAUGUCCACGGAUCAGCUGUUCCCUCAUUUCUCUUUCUCUCCUUGCGCCUCCAAUUCCCUAAGACACAAUAUUGAAAUCCAGGCCAAUUAAUAGCCCCACAGUGACCUCUAAGUGUUCAAGUUAAAGGAAGAGUUGCACGUUUCUCACUUUAAAUCGAAAGCUAGAAAUGAUUUUGCUUAGUGAGGAAGGCAUGUUGAAAGCCAAGAUAGGCCAAAAGUUAGGGCUCUUACACCGAACAGUUAACCAAGUUGUGAAGGCAAAGGGAAAGUUCUUGAAGGAAAUUAAAAGUGCUACUCCAGUGAGUACCUGAAUGUUAAGAAACAGAACAGCCCUCUUGCUGAUAUGGAAAACAUUUUAGUGGUCUGGACAAAUCAAACCAGCUACAACAUUCCCUUAAGCUAAAGCCUAAUCCAGAUCACAGUCCUAGCUCUCUUCAAUUCUCUGAAUCCUGAGAGAGGUGAGGAAACUACAGAAGGAAAGUUUGAAGCGAGCAGAGGUUGGUUAAUGAGGUUUAAGUAAUGAAGUCAUCUCUAACAAAAAAGUGCAAGAUGAAGCAUAGGUGAUCCAAAAGAUCUAAGAUAAUUGAUGAAGGUGGCUACACUAAACAACAGAUUUUUGUUGAAGAUGAAACAGUUUCUAUUUGAAGGAGAUGCCAUCUAAGACUUUCAUAGCUAGAGAAGAGAAAUCAGUGCCUGCCUUCAAGUUUCCAAGGACAGGAUGAUUCUCUUGGUAGGGGCUAACACAGCUGUGACUUUCAGUGGAAGUCAGUGCUUAUUUAGCGUUCUCAAAAUUCUAGGGCCUUUAAGAAUUAUGCUAAAUCUGCUCUGCCUGUGCGCUAUAUAAAUGGAACAACAAAGCCUGGAUGACAGUACAUCUGUUUAUAGCAUGGUUUACUUUUUUUUUUUUUUUUUUGAGACGUAGUUUCACUCUUGUUGCCCAGGCUGGAGUGCAAUGGCACCAUCUCGGCUCACCACAACCUCUGCCUCCCAGGUUCAAGCAAUCCUCCUACCUCAGCCUCCCAAGUAGCUGGGAUUACAGGCAUGCGCCACCACACCCAGCUCAUUUUGUAUUUUUAGUAGAGAUGGGGGUUUCUCCAUGUUGGUCAGGCUGGUCUCGAACUUCCGACCUCAGGUGAUCCACCUGCCUCAGCCUCUCAAAGUGCUGGGAUUACAGGCAUGAGCCACCGCACCCGGCCUGAAAAAGAAAGUGAAUUCUCAUACAGCCUGCCUCAUUCCUAACAUUUAUGAGAAUAUCUGAAAUACCAGACAAGUUAUCCUAUUAAGAACUUUUUUCAUAGACUGCUUCCAAUUAUAUUAUUAAUAAGAAGUUUAAUUGAAGAACAGAUCAAACCUUAAGUGUGAAGCCUUUAUCUCAAUGAUGAAAAUUUCUAAGUCACCUCAGCCUAAAAAUUCAUUUACCUCUCUUGCAGUCUCAGAUGGUUUGUCCCUCCCUAGGUUGCAAUGUGAGGACUUAGGGGCUACAUGGCUCCCUAUUAAGACAAUAAGCUUUCCCAAGUUCACUUUCUACACUGACAUCCACCCACAGUAUGACCCAUCCUGUAUACAUUGUCCCAAGGCCUCAUGGAGGGAGUGCUCCCUACUGUUAGUCUCCAAAUGCAGCCCAGGAAGUCACCCCCUGCUGAGGUUGCCAGAUAAAAUGGUGCGUGGGCAUACUUACACUAGAAAAUAAUUCGUUGUUUAUCUGAAAUUCAAAUUUAGCUGGGCAUUGUAUGUUUUGAUUUGCUAAAUCUGGCAGACUUAACCGCCUGCUAUAGUGCUGUUUCUUUCAACUCUCCAUGGCCCCAGCUCCUGGUUGUUGACAUUGUUCUGAGCUGUUCGUUAGCAGCUGAACCUGGCUUCCUUCCGUGGGCCUGAAGGGCUGCUGUCCACUUGCAUUCUUGCCACAUCCAUCCUUCCCUUUCUAGCAAGAGAAUUUUUCCAUGUAUAGGUCUCCAUAUUGAAGGUAAAGAGUUUCCAGACCCUCUCAGGUCCCUUAACCGUUGUCUUUCAUGGACAUUUAAAACUCUCCACAGACAGGGCAGAGCUUCAUAAUAGCUGAGAUUACUCUGGUCUCCCUCCUAGAUACUCUGCCAAGAAACCUACCCCAUGGAGCUGUCAGGUUCUUGUCACAGUUUACUGUACAAAGCUCGCUGUGAAAGUUGACAGUGCCAUCCAAGUUCAAUUCCUAAUUAGUUCUUCACAAAGCAGAACCUACCCAGUGACAAUCCCUAGGCAUAACCAGGAUAAAAGAGGACCAAAUGGGAAUGGCAGGGACUUUGAAGUCAAACGGGGCUGAGUUUGAAUCCCAGCACUGCCACUUAUUACUAGGGGAGUAUUAACCCCUCUGGAUCCUAGAUUCCUUGUCUGUAAAAUGAGUAAAUUUACCUUAAAGUACGAUUAAUAGUCCUACCUUGUUAGGUUGCUGUAAGGAUUAGAGAGAAUGAAGAUGGAGUACCUGACGCAGAGUCCAGACUCCACUAAUGAUGAUCCGUUGUGUCAUACCCAUCUUUACUGCUUUCAAAAGAGUGAUACGGUCUUUAUUAUUACAACUUAAAAUAGCUGUAUUAAUGCUUCCCAAACAUGUCUGUGAAAUGUGACCUUUUUGAACCAUGAAGUUCAGGUUACCUUUAGGGGGAAGGUGCUUAAUUAAGCAAUAGCUGGCUGGAUGUGGUGGCUCACACCUGUAAUCCCAGCACUUUGAGAGACCAAAGUGGGCAGAUCACUUGAGGUCAGGAGUUCGAGACCAGCCUUGCCAACAUGGUGAAACCCUGUCUCUACUAAAAAUACAAAAAUUAGCCAGAAAUCACUUGAACCUGGGAGGUGGAGGUUGCAGUGAGCUGAGAUCGUGCCACUGCACUCCAGCCUGGAGUGGACCCAGUCUAAAAAAAAAAAAAAAAAGCAAUAGUCACAUUACUAGAAGCCCCUCAAUGUCCCCAGUCUGUGAGGUAGAAAAGUAAUUGCAGCAUCAGGAGGGUAGAAGAUUUCUCCAGACUGGUUCCAUAGGAGAGAGAGAAACAGACUCUGCCAAGGCAGUCUUCUGGCCUGUGAGUGGUAUCCUUCCCUCUCAGUCAUCAAGGAUGCCCCACUGCUACUCAAAAGCCACAGGAAAAGUUACCAGUUAUGUUGGGAUUAUAGUUUUGUGUUUCCUUGAGGGUGAUCAGCUCCUUUCUUGCUUAUAGGUUUCUUUUUUUUUCUUUUUUUUGUUUGGACAGAGUCUCACUCUGUCACCCAGGCUGGAGUGCAGUGGCACGAUCUUCUUGGCUCACUGCAACCUCCACCUCCCAGGUUCAAGCGAUUCUUCUGCCUCAGCCUCCUGGGUAGCUGGGAUUACAGGUGUGUGCCACCCACGCUUGGCUAAUUUUUAUGUUUUUAGUAGAGAUGAGGUUUCACCAUGUUGGCCAGGCUGGUCUCGAACUCCUGACCUCAGAUGAUCUGCCCACCUCGGCCUCCCAAAGUGCUGGGAUUACAGGCGUGAGCCACUGUGCCCAGCCAUGUUUCCUGAACACCCAAAGUAGCUUAAGUCACACAUAUUUACCAGGAGUCAGUGAUGAAAGAGAGGUCCAUUGUCAUUCCAAAAUGCGCCCUUUACACUUAUUAGGAAAUAAGGUAACAUUAUUUCCACAAACAUUAAAUGCGGGUGAUACAGAUAUUAGUAAAAGUCUUUUUUUUUUUUUUUUUUUUUUUUUUGAGAUGGAGUCUCGCUCUGUCACCCAGGGUGGAGUGCAGUGGCACCAUCUCGGCUCGCUGCAAUCUCUGCUUCCUGCGUUCAAGCGAUUCUUCUGCCUCAGCCUUCCGAGUAGUUGAGACUACAGGCGUGAGCCACCACGCCCAGCUAAUUGUUAUACUUUUAGUAGAGACGGAGUGUAACUGUAUUGGCCAGGCUGGUCUCGAACUCCUAGACCUCAUGAUCUGCCUGCCUCGGCCUCCCAAAGUGCCAGGAUUAUAGGCAUGAGCCACUGCGCCCAGCUAGUGAAAGUCUUUCUAUAACCACUAUUGCCCCCAUAAAUUUUCUUCCUUUUCUUUUUUCUUUCUUUUUUUUUUUAAUAGUGAUAGGAUCUUGCUCUGUUGCUUAGGCUGGAGUGCAGUGGCUCAUAGCUCAUUGUAACAUCCAACUCCUGGGCUCAAGCCAUCCUCCCACCUCAGCCUCCUGAGUAGCUAGGAUUACAGGCAUAUGUCACCAUGGUUGGAUAAUUUUUAAAAUUUUUUCCCAUAGAGAUGUCACAUAGAGAUGGGAUCUUGCUCUGUUGGCCAGGCUGGUCUCAAACUCCUGGCCUCAAGUGAUCCUCCUGCCUCAGCUUCCCAAAGCAUUGGGAUUAUAGGUAUGAGCCACUGUGCCCAGCACUCCUACAAAUUUUCAUGUGUGGGUAUGAAAUCCCCUGACUCCCUAAUAAGCCCAAUGGUUGAAAAUUUAAAGGUCAACAUGUUUAUCAGAAAUGAGAAAAUAGGCCAGACGCAGUGUUUCAUGCCUAUAAUCCCAGCACUUUGGGAGGCCGAGGCAGGCAGAUCACCUGAGGUCAGGAGUUUGAGACCAGCCUGGCCAACAUGGCGAAACCCUGUCUCUACUAAAAGUACAAAAAAUUAGCCAGGUAUGGUGACGUGUGCCUGUAGUCUCAGCUACUUGGGAGGUUGAGACAGGAGAAUUGCUUGAACCUGGGAGGUGGAGGUUGCAGUGAGCCACUGCAUUCCAUCCUGGGCGACAGAGCGAGACUCCAUCUCAAAAAAAUUUAUAUUAUGUAUAAUAAUAUAUGUAUAAUUUGUGUUAUUACAUUAUAUAUUUUGUUAUAUAUUAUGUAUAAAUAAUAACAUUAUUAUUAGAGAGUCCAUCAAAUAGUUGAGAAAAACAUAGCUAAUAUUUAUUGAGCAUUUAUGGUGUGCCAGGCCCUGUGUUGAAUGUUACAUGUGCUUUCUCAAUAAUAAUAAUGUGUCUAUUAUUCUGCCCCAGUUACAGAUGAGGAAAUAGGCUAAGGAAGGUUGGGUAACUGACCAGGCUGGCAAGUGGCAGGGCUGGGACUCCACCCCGAAUCUGCUCAGUAGCCCAGGCUCUGCUGUCCAUAUGAUUCACAAGCAUUUAUUCAACUAAAAUUAGUCACAGACAGUUAUCAGAAAUUUACCUUUAAAAUCUUAAAAAGGGCCAUAUUUGAUUUUUUUUUUUUUUUUUUUUUUUUUAUGAAACAGUCUCGCUCUGUCUCCCAGGCUAGAUUGCAGUGGUGCGAUUUUGGCUCACUGCAACCUCCACCUCCCGGGUUCAAGUAAUUCUCCUGCCUCAGCCUCCUGAGUAGGUGGGAUUACAGGCGCCCGCCACUGUGCCUGGCUAAUUUUUGUAUUUUUAGUAGAGGCGGGGUUUCACCAUGUUGGCCAGACUGGUCUCAAAUUCCUGACCUCAUGAUCCACCUGCCUCAGCCUCCCAAAGUGCUGGGAUUACAGGUGUGAGCCACCACGUCCAGCCUGAUCAUAUUUUUACCUAUCAAGAAUUGGACCAGUUUUCUAGAGUGUCAUAUAAAUAUACUAAUAACCUCACAACAAGUUGCUGAAAUUAAUAAAUAUAUAUGUAUCAAAGAUUAUAAUGCAUAAUGUUAAAAGCUGCAGUAAUUUUCAAAGAAAGUAGUACCUAGAUACAAGAGUCCUCCAGUAAGGAAGGUGAGUAACUACCCAUUUGCCAUGAAUCAGCAGUUAGCCUAUUAGUGGUGCUUCACAAAUACUUUUUUGUCAUCUUUGAGGGGUAGAAGCACUGCUAUUCCAUAGCUCCUAGAGAGAUGUAGCGGCCAGGAUGAAACUCAGAAGCCCAGGGAGCUCCAGCCGUAGGAUCCCAGAGCUCAGUCUCUCUGCUCCCCUGGAAUGUGUUUUUCCAAACUGCGGUGUGAGGCUGAAGGGCCAGCACACUGGACCCAGGCUUAUGAAAUGGACAAGACUAAUGUGAAAGGGACUGGUUCUUUGCGGGUGCUCAUUAAAUGUGGUUUCCCCUUCUCUUAUUCAAUAAAUAGCUAUUUGGUUUGUGUCAUCUCCUAUUUAUUGCUAUAUUAGAAAAUAAUAGCAUCAUUCCCACAUACAGCAUCUGUGACUAGAGCUGACAAGACCAACAUAGGGCAACAGUGCUUUCUGUGGCAUUUGCAUAGAAAGUGCGCCCUUCGAAUAGGCAGUAUGCCUGGAGCUGUUUGGAGUUUAGCCUGAGACUCAAAUCUGCAAAAGCCUUUUCUGAGAAAGCUACCCUGUUUGUGAUUGCUACAUUCCAGUUUAUGUGACAGCCAUUGCUUUGUUUCCUAGCAGUCCAUAGAUACAUCAUUGGAAAUUGUGGUUUGGAGCAUCAUUUAAGGGUUUUUUUAUUUUUUAAUACGUGGUUUAAAUGACACCGCUCUUCAGUUUAUCAUCUUCAGUAUAGCAUCUGUUUUUUAUUCAUCUUGUAUCUGUACUUUACCUACUAAAGUAGGGGGCCAUUGUUCAAUGAAAUUAUCAUGAAAAUCAUUUCAAAACUUUACCACUUUAGUUUGUUGGUGGUGAUUAUAUGGAACAGACCCCCUCAGAUAUUGUUGAUGACUGUAUAAAUUGAUAAAACCUCUUUUGAAAGCAAUUUGCACAUGCAUCAAGGAUCAUGAGCAUAUUCAUACUCUGAGCCUAUAAUUCAGCAUCUAGAAUCUAAACCAAGGAAAAAUAAAAAUACAGAAAAUAUAUGUCUAAUGGUAUUUAUUGCAGAUUUAUUAAUAGUGCAGAAGUAUAAACAAAUAGACAUAUGAUUAAUAUAUUUUAGUAAACCCCAAGUGAAAUAUCCUGCCAUUAAAAUGCUAUCCUUAGUAAGUUUUACUAGAAAUGUUUCUAAAAAUGUUUUUAAAAUUGUAAUGUUGGCCAGGUGUGGUGGCUCACAGCUGUAAUCUCAGCACUUUGGGAGGCCAAGGUGGGAGGAUCACAUGAGGCCAGGAGUUCAAACCAGCCUGUGCAACAUGGCAAGACCCCAUCUCUACAAAGAAAAAAAGACAUUGUAAUGUGGGUUGGAGAAAGUGAGAUAUAAAAUUGUAUAUUUAUUUUAUGCUGGGAAAAUUAUACACAAGUAUACCCAUAUACCAGGAUGGUGGUAUUAUGGGUGAUAUGUUUUUCUUUCUACUUUUCCAACAUUUUUAAUAAUGUGAUUACAUUAUUUUUAUAGUGGAAAGAUUUUUUAAUAAUUAAAAAACUCGUAAGUGCAAGUAGAACCGUAUGCCAUUAUGAGGAGAAUUUUUAGAACUAAGGAUACCAGGACACCUGGCCUGACUUAAAGCCUAGCAAUAGGACACAGGGUUUGAAAUUGAAACUAUUCCCCCAAAUCCAAGACAUACACAUAUCCAUAGAUAAAUUGGCAAUGAUGGCUGUAAACCAAAAGUGAUUUGGGUAACUCAAGUUUAUUUGAGGGAACCCCUCCAGACAUUAUGUUGGCAGGAACUAUGGCCACCCAUGGUGCCAUACAUAACCCCGGUACAAGCUGUCAGGGAACCAAAUAAAAUUGAUAUGCCCUCAUGUGGCUCAGACAGUGAGUCUUGUCAGCAGUUGUUCUGCCCAGGAAACUUCUCUGUUGAUAGUGUCAUCAUUCUAUACAAAGGCAAGUCUGGCCAGUCCUAACUAACAGAUACCAGUACAAAGGCAUUACAAUGUCUUAUCCAUGAUUGGAAGCUUUUUGUUAGUGUUCAGAUGACCACAUUCUUCUACUUUUCCCCUCUCCCAGGACAUUCACUCAGCCUGUCCUGGGAGAAGAGCCUUCCUCCUAGUCCCUGCAUUCAGCAGUGCAUCUGGAGUGAUGGUGCAGUGGAGAAUGUCUUGUUAUUAGUUUCUGGACACUGUCUCUCUCUUUCUCUCUCUCUCUCUCCAAAUUAAGUUUUAAUAAAAAUAUAUUGGUGAAUGUCUUGAAGAUUCAUUCAUUCAUUUGGUCAUUUCUUCAUUUAUUAAAGGAUUCAUUAAAACAAACAUAAUAGGCCAGGCAUAGUGGCUCACGCCUGUAAUCCCAGCACUUUGGGAGGCCAAGGUGGGUGGAUCACCAGAGAUCAGGAGUUCGAGACCAGCCUGACCAAUAUGGUGAAACCACGUCUCUACUAAAAAUACAAAAAUUAUCUGGGCGUUGUGGUGUGUGCCUGCAAUCCCAGCUACUCAGGAGGCUGAGAUGGGAAAAUUGCUUGAACCCAGGAGGCAGAGGUUGCAGUGAUUCAAGAUGGCACCACUGCACUCCAGCCUGGGCGACUGAGUGAAACUGUCUCAAAACAACAACAACAACAAAAACAGGCAUAAUUUAUUACAUACUGGAAUUAAAGAACACAGAAAACCACCACCCUUCUUUCAGUUUAUAGGCUAAAUCAGGCUCACAGAUAAAAAUCUAAGGAUCCUCAGCGUGGUAUUCCAGAAAUUGCUGGGGAAGCUGGCAGGGUUGGGGGGUGGUGGGGGAAGUGGGGGCCGUGAUGGGUGUGCUUAGGACCUGGUAAUGAGAGUGAGAUGGGACCACAUGUUCCUUAGGGAGUAGAGCUCAGACUGGGGAAGGGGAGAGGCUCUGGGAAUUGCUGAAGGGAGUGGGACUCGGGUGUGGCCCAGGAAGGUCUUGGGAGGGCUGGUAACUACUGGUGAGCUGAGUGUAGCUUGAAACUUAAAGGGAGAUUCAGGAAAGAGAUGAAAGAAGACAAAUGUCACAUACUAGACAAUUUUGCUUAAGUCUAUCUCUUGAGUGAGGGAACAGUAGGACUGUUGCUUUUUCUUCCUGAAUCCACCUCUGCAGUUUGGUCCCCUUUGGGUAGAUCUGCAAAUAGGGAAGUGUUCAUGGCCACCUGCCCAGGAGGCUUCCUAAGAAUUUGUUGAGCAAAUUUCUUUGAUACCCGGGAUUUGAUAUUUGCCAAGAGUCAGCCUGAACAAAUUCCUAACUGUUGAACAUGAAAGCAGAAUUCUCAGAGUUGGCCAGCUCUGCAAAUUGUGUCUUUCCCUAGCAGAGAACUUGCAGUAGUACAGGCUAUUUCCUCAUCCACUAAGCACAUGCUUGUUGGCCUAUGUGGUGGUCUAGCCUUUGCAUUCUUGCCUUUGAGAAGAUUUCUGGAGAGUACCAGGCAAGAUUCUUCUCCAGCCUAGGAGGUGGGACGGCAAGAGGAUGGGCUCUCCAGUUCUUUUUUGUCUAUUAAUUCUACUCCUCCCCUUCUAGGAUCUUCCUUUCUCUCUUCAUCUCCAUUCUCCCCCCUUUUUCUCUACCCUCUUAUUCCCUAUUCUGGCCAAAUGGAUUAGGGAGUGGGGAGGGAAUGGUCAGGGCUGGAAAGUCCAUUCUUAUUUAUUUUUCUCUUUAUAGCAAAUCCCAAGACUUCCUUCAUGGAAGCACGUGGGAAAUUACACCCCUGGGUUGCUGAGGCCACUUAAUUUAAAAAGUAAGCCCAGUCUGGAGUGUAUCAGUUGGGUGAAGCAUCCAUCCCUGGGGCAUGGUCUUCAAAUGCCUGCCAUGUCUUGGAGAAAAGCUGGGGCUCACAGAGUGCUGCUGCCCCUGCCUUGCACACACAUGUGCAAGGGUUGGUGGUGCUGGGGACCAGGCUUAGGUAGAAGGGAGGUCAGCCCUUCCAGAAGUGAAUAUUCUGAACUCAGCCUCUCUAACUCCAAAUAACUUAAAAUGAAAGAUUUGUCUGGGAGCAGUGUCUCAUGCCUGUAAUCCCAA